RNAcentral lists this ribosomal RNA (459 nucleotides) under uncultured bacterium. RNAcentral's name for it is "partial 16S ribosomal RNA". It matches the Rfam family "Bacterial small subunit ribosomal RNA", at positions 338 to 795 of the family's 1533-position model. The record is from RNAcentral.
CCUACGUGAGGCAGCAGUGAGGAAUAUUGGUCAAUGGGCGCAAGUCUGAACCAGCCAAGUCGCGUGAGGGAAGACGGUCCUAUGUAUUGUAAACCUCUUUUGUCGGGGAGUAAACGACGCCACGCGUCUCGUUCCGAAAGUACCCGAAGAAGAAGCAUCGGCUAAAUCGGUGCACGCCGCCGCGGUAAUACGGAGGAUGCAAGCGUUAUACGGAUUUAGUGGGUGUAAAGGGUGUGCAGUGGGAAGAUCAAGUCAGCGGUAAAAUGGAGAGGCUCAACCUCUUGGAGCUGUUGAAAAGGGUUGUCUGGAGUGAGCGAGAGGUAGGCGGAAUGCGUGGUGUAGCGGUGAAAUGCAUAGAUAUCAUGCAGAACUCCGAUUGCGAAGGCAGCAUACCGGCGCUCAACUGACGCUCAUGCACGAAAGCGUGGGUAUCAAACAGGAGUAGAUACCCGGGUAGUC